This 616-nucleotide ribosomal RNA is filed under the name uncultured Gammaproteobacteria bacterium. RNAcentral's name for it is "bacterial SSU rRNA". It matches the Rfam family "Bacterial small subunit ribosomal RNA", at positions 1 to 579 of the family's 1533-position model. The record is from RNAcentral. Lineage: Bacteria; Pseudomonadati; Pseudomonadota; Gammaproteobacteria.
CCCAUAUGGUCGACCUGCAGGCGGCCGCGAAUUCACUAGUGAUUAGAGUUUGAUCCUGGCUCAGAUUGAACGCUGGCGGCAGGCCUAACACAUGCAAGUCGAGCGGCAGCGGGGGGAAGCUUGCUUCCCUGCCGGCGAGCGGCGGACGGGUGAGUAAUGUCUGGGGAUCUGCCCGAUGGAGGGGGAUAACCACUGGAAACGGUGGCUAAUACCGCAUAACCUCUUUGGAGUAAAGUGGGGGACCUUCGGGCCUCACGCCAUCGGAUGAACCCAGAUGGGAUUAGCUAGUAGGUGGGGUAAUGGCUCACCUAGGCGACGAUCCCUAGCUGGUCUGAGAGGAUGACCAGCCACACUGGGACUGAGACACGGCCCAGACUCCUACGGGAGGCAGCAGUGGGGAAUAUUGCACAAUGGGCGCAAGCCUGAUGCAGCCAUGCCGCGUGUAUGAAGAAGGCCUUCGGGUUGUAAAGUACUUUCAGCGGGGAGGAAGGCAACAGCGUGAAUAGCGCUGUUGAUUGACGUUACCCGCAGAAGAAGCACCGGCUAACUCCGUGCCAGCAGCCGCGGUAAUACGAAUCGAAUUCCCGCGGCGCCAUGGCGCCCGGGAGCAUGCGAC